UACGGAGGGGGCAAGCGUUGUUCGGAAUUACUGGGCGUAAAGGGCGCGUAGGCGGCCUGCUAAGUCAAACGUGAAAUCCCCGAGCUCAACUCGGGAACUGCGUCCGAUACUGGCAGGCUUGAAUCCGGGAGAGGGAUGCGGAAUUCCGGGUGUAGCGGUGAAAUGCGUAGAUAUCUGGAGGAACACCGGUGGCGAAGGCGGCAUCCUGGACCGGCAUUGACGCUGAGGCGCGAAAGCCAGGGGAGCAAACGGG
This 253-nucleotide ribosomal RNA is filed under the name uncultured bacterium. RNAcentral's name for it is "partial 16S ribosomal RNA". It matches the Rfam family "Bacterial small subunit ribosomal RNA", at positions 524 to 776 of the family's 1533-position model. The record is from RNAcentral.